This 489-nucleotide ribosomal RNA is filed under the name uncultured Micrococcaceae bacterium. RNAcentral's name for it is "bacterial SSU rRNA". It matches the Rfam family "Bacterial small subunit ribosomal RNA", at positions 9 to 507 of the family's 1533-position model. The record is from RNAcentral. Lineage: Bacteria; Bacillati; Actinomycetota; Actinomycetes; Micrococcales; Micrococcaceae.
GAGUUUUGAUCCUGGCUCAGGAUGAACGCUGGCGGCGUGCUUAACACAUGCAAGUCGAACGAUGAAGCCCUGCUUGCAGGGUGGAUUAGUGCGAACGGGUGAGUAACACGUGAGUAACCUGACCCCCGACUCUGGGAUAAGCCCGGGAAACUGGGUCUAAUACCGGAUAUGACUUCCUACUGCAUGGUGGGUUGUUGAAAGAGUUUAUCGGUCGGGGGAUGGACUCGCGGCCUAUCAGCUUGUUGGUGAGGUAAUGGCUCACCAAGGCGACGACGGGUAGCCGGCCUGAGACGGGUGACCGGCCACACUGGGACUGAGACACGGCCCAGACUCCUACGGGAGGCAGCAGUGGGGAAUAUUGCACAAUGGGCGGAAGCCUGAUGCAGCGACGCCGCGUGAGGGAUGACGGCCUUCGGGUUGUAAACCUCUUUCAGUAGGGAAGAAGCGAAAGUGACGGUACCUGCAGAAGAAGCGCCGGCUAACUACGUG